UACGUAGGUGGCAAGCGUUGUCCGGAUUUACUGGGCGUAAAGGGCUUGUAGGCGGUUUGUUAAGUCUGGUGUGAAAUCUCCCGGCUCAACCGGGAGGGGUCAUCGGAUACUGGCAGACUAGAGACGGGUAGAGGAAAGCAGAAUUCCCGGUGUAGCGGUGAAAUGCGUAGAUAUCGGGAGGAAUACCAGUGGCGAAGGCGGCUUUCUGGGACAACACUGACGCUGAGGCACGAAAGCGUGGGGAGCAAACAGG
RNAcentral lists this ribosomal RNA (253 nucleotides) under uncultured bacterium. Its description in RNAcentral is "partial 16S ribosomal RNA". It matches the Rfam family "Bacterial small subunit ribosomal RNA", at positions 524 to 776 of the family's 1533-position model. The record is from RNAcentral.